Long non-coding RNA from Vigna radiata var. radiata (mung bean), 207 nucleotides. RefSeq lists it as uncharacterized. Lineage: Eukaryota; Viridiplantae; Streptophyta; Magnoliopsida; Fabales; Fabaceae. The record is from RefSeq and is a predicted model, not a curated record. The transcript is spliced from 3 exons.
CUCCUGAGUUACCAAUGGAAUUAUCGAUAGCGGUUAAUACUUCUCUUAUUGCCCAGGCACGGCGUGGGAUUUUUUGCACAGAGCCUUUUCGGAUACCAUUUGCUGGAAAGGUUGAUAUAUGUUGUUUUGACAAGACAGGGACACUUACAUCUGAUGAUAUGGAAUUUUCUGGAGUUGUUGGGUUGAAUGGAACUACAGAUUUGGAGU